UCUUCGGUGGCCUAACUGUGAGGACGCUCGCCCGGAAAGCAAGAGAUCCAGGUUUGAUUCCUGGACGAGGAA
Molecule: transfer RNA, 72 nt
Filed under: Mycetomoellerius zeteki
Lineage: Eukaryota; Metazoa; Arthropoda; Insecta; Hymenoptera; Formicidae
Description: Trachymyrmex zeteki tRNA
Rfam family: tRNA
About the family: Transfer RNA (tRNA) molecules are approximately 80 nucleotides in length. Their secondary structure includes four short double-helical elements and three loops (D, anti-codon, and T loops).
Source: Rfam by way of RNAcentral